RNAcentral lists this ribosomal RNA (519 nucleotides) under proteobacterium 5S2.G8. Its description in RNAcentral is "bacterial SSU rRNA". It matches the Rfam family "Bacterial small subunit ribosomal RNA", at positions 60 to 574 of the family's 1533-position model. Lineage: Bacteria; Pseudomonadati; Pseudomonadota. The record is from RNAcentral.
AGUCGAACGGCAGCGCGGGAGCAAUCCUGGCGGCGAGUGGCGAACGGGUGAGUAAUACAUCGGAACGUGCCCAAUCGUGGGGGAUAACGCAGCGAAAGCUGUGCUAAUACCGCAUAAGAUCUACGGAUGAAAGCAGGGGAUCGCAAGACCUUGCGCGAAUGGAGCGGCCGAUGGCAGAUUAGGUAGUUGGUGAGGUAAAGGCUCACCAAGCCUUCGAUCUGUAGCUGGUCUGAGAGGACGACCAGCCACACUGGGACUGAGACACGGCCCAGACUCCUACGGGAGGCAGCAGUGGGGAAUUUUGGACAAUGGGCGCAAGCCUGAUCCAGCCAUGCCGCGUGCAGGAUGAAGGCCUUCGGGUUGUAAACUGCUUUUGUACGGAACGAAAAGGUUCUUUCUAAUAAAGAGAGCUCAUGACGGUACCGUAAGAAUAAGCACCGGCUAACUACGUGCCAGCAGCCGCGGUAAUACGUAGGGUGCAAGCGUUAAUCGGAAUUACUGGGCGUAAAGCGUGCGCAG